ACGUGGCCAAAUAUAUUGGGUCAGUACCUACACGAUUCCUUUAUUCUGAGGAAGUGUUAUUGUUGUCGAUUAUAUAAUUAAUACUUUGUAAAAUCAGUCCUUUCAUAAAAAAAAAAAAAACAAGAGCAUGUACUAUGUCAUAUUAGUUCAUAUUUUUUAUGUUUUUAAGGUGAUAGUGCUUACCCCCCCUACACCUCCUCCUCCUGACUCCUGUGCUCAACCCGACCACUCCAGGAGAGAAUUGAUACAAUGUGGCCCAUAUACGCACGAGGAAUAUUGUGGAGCCGGUUUCGUUGUUUGGACUGCAUUGGAGGAGACCACUGACCAGCCCAGAAAAAGUGGCCCACAUUGUAGUUGUCUGCUGUAUGUUGCACAACAUUGCCAAACAUCAUGUGUUGGAGCGUGAUGCCAUAGAAAUGAAGGAGGAGAAUGACCACGGGCCACGUGUGGGGCAACAACCCCAACCUUAUGGCGAGAUUGCAGACACGCAUCACUCUGAUUCAAAGUCAUUUCUCAUGAGCUGUUUGGGUGCAGGCUGCUCCUCUCCUCCCUCUCCAGUCCCCAGCUGCUCAGCUCUGGGACCGCUGGGAUUGAGAGACCUCACUACUGCCUGUACCCCAUCUUCCAUCCCUCUCGCCAGGGCAGCGCUGACCAGCUGCUGAGUGUCCCGCCUGAGCGCUCGUGCCAUACAGGACCCAGCUCGCACCUCCUGCGCAAUGGAUAACAAUCCAUCCUCAAGGGCUGCAGACUGAUCUUUUUUAUUCUUCCUGCAGCAACUCCUGAUCAGUGUCCUGAUAAACAGCGCUCUUGAGACUCUGUAGGUUUGUCUGUUGAUUUGGGCUGAUUUGAGGACUGGGGGGUGGGGAUGGCCGAACUUCUGGAUUCUCCCGAUAAAAAAAGGACAAAUAUUUAGUUUGAAGGUUAAAUUGUAAGGACAACUAUAUUCGGCAAAAGACUGCUGUGGGAGGCACAUUCAUUUUUUGAUUUGGUAGAUAAUAUUAAAUAAAUUAUAAGUUACU
Seriola aureovittata is the source of this 1019-nucleotide long non-coding RNA. RefSeq lists it as uncharacterized. Lineage: Eukaryota; Metazoa; Chordata; Actinopteri; Carangiformes; Carangidae. The record is from RefSeq and is a predicted model, not a curated record. The transcript has 2 exons.